GUAAUACCGGAUGCUCCGCUCCAUCGCAUGGUGGGGUGGGAAAUGCUUUUGCGGCAUGGGAUGGGGUCGCGUCCUAUCAGCUUGUUGGCGGGGUGAUGGCCCACCAAGGCGUUGACGGGUAGCCGGCCUGAGAGGGUGACCGGCCACAUUGGGACUGAGAUACGGCCCAGACUCCUACGGGAGGCAGCAGUGGGGAAUAUUGCACAAUGGGCGCAAGCCUGAUGCAGCGACGCCGCGUGCGGGAUGGAGGCCUUCGGGUUGUAAACCGCUUUUGUUCAAGGGCAAGGCACGGUUUCGGCCGUGUUGAGUGGAUUGUUCGAAUAAGCACCGGCUAACUACGUGCCAGCAGCCGCGGUAAUACGUAGGGUGCGAGCGUUAUCCGGAUUUAUUGGGCGUAAAGGGCUCGUAGGCGGUUCGUCGCGUCCGGUGUGAAAGUCCAUCGCCUAACGGUGGAUCUGCGCCGGGUACGGGCGGGCUGGAGUGCGGUAGGGGAGACUGGAAUUCCCGGUGUAACGGUGGAAUGUGUAGAUAUCGGAAAAGAAAC
Molecule: ribosomal RNA, 544 nt
Filed under: Bifidobacterium animalis subsp. lactis
Lineage: Bacteria; Bacillati; Actinomycetota; Actinomycetes; Bifidobacteriales; Bifidobacteriaceae
Description: bacterial SSU rRNA
Rfam family: Bacterial small subunit ribosomal RNA
Source: RNAcentral